AUUGAACGCUGGCGGCAGGCCUAACACAUGCAAGUCGAACGGUAGCACAGAGAGCUUGCUCUCGGGUGACGAGUGGCGGACGGGUGAGUAAUGUCUGGGAAACUGCCUGAUGGAGGGGGAUAACUACUGGAAACGGUAGCUAAUACCGCAUAACGUCGCAAGACCAAAGAGGGGGACCUUCGGGCCUCUUGCCAUCAGAUGUGCCCAGAUGGGAUUAGCUAGUAGGCGGGGUAAUGGCCCACCUAGGCGACGAUCCCUAGCUGGUCUGAGAGGAUGACCAGCCACACUGGAACUGAGACACGGUCCAGACUCCUACGGGAGGCAGCAGUGGGGAAUAUUGCACAAUGGGCGCAAGCCUGAUGCAGCCAUGCCGCGUGUGUGAAGAAGGCCUUCGGGUUGUAAAGCACUUUCAGCGGGGAGGAAGGCGGUACGGUUAAUAACCGUGCUGAUUGACGUUACCCGCAGAAGAAGCACCGGCUAACUCCGUGCCAGCCGCCGCAGUAA
RNAcentral lists this ribosomal RNA (504 nucleotides) under uncultured bacterium. RNAcentral describes it as "partial 16S ribosomal RNA". It matches the Rfam family "Bacterial small subunit ribosomal RNA", at positions 29 to 523 of the family's 1533-position model. The record is from RNAcentral.